Molecule: ribosomal RNA, 238 nt
Filed under: uncultured bacterium
Lineage: Bacteria
Description: partial 16S ribosomal RNA
Rfam family: Bacterial small subunit ribosomal RNA
Source: RNAcentral
CAUAAGCGCACACUGUCGCAUGACAGAGUGUGAAAAUUUCCGGAGGUAUACGAUGGACCCGCGUCUGAUUAGCCAGUUGGCAGGGUAACGGCCUACCAAAGCAACGAUCAGUAGCCGGCCUGGGAGGGUGGACGGCCACAUUGGGACUGAGACACGGCCCAAACUCCUGCGGGAGGCAGCAGUGGGGGAUAUUGCACAAUGGGGGAAACCCUGAUGCAGCGACGCCGCGUGAGUGAAG